Non-coding RNA from Sus scrofa (pig), 2146 nucleotides. NCBI's taxonomy places the organism in Eukaryota, Metazoa, Chordata, Mammalia, Artiodactyla, Suidae. The record is from RefSeq and is a predicted model, not a curated record.
GAAGCAGAGCCUUGGAGGGCGCUCACCGCGCGUUACUCACAUCCGGGCGCCGAACCCGCGGUAGUUUCUUUAGGCUGGAGGGCGAGUAGGGUGGUAACUCAGGCAGGUAUGAGCAGCACUCUCCCGACCUACCCUCCUCCCCUUAUCCCGUUGUACAAAUGGAGAGGUAGACUUGCGGAGAGGCGACCUCUUCGUGCGGACCUGAGGGGGCAGCUGCGCCCUUGAUUUCAAGCCUCAGCUUUUUCCUGGGCAGCGCUGUGGCAGACAGAGCCGCUCCUGGAGUUCGAAGGACUUGUGUCUUACGUGGGACAGUUCCUAGCUUUGGGCAGGUUGCUUCCCGUCUCCGAGUCUCCUUUUCCUCUCUGUUUGUCUCUGAAGAUGUGGCACUUAGCAGGAUAGCCAUAUCUGAGGACCAGACCUGUGUUGAGGACCCAGAACCUUUGACCUCUCCAUCUCCACCCAGCUGAGGCCAGUCACCAUCCUCAGCAGCUGACAUCACAAGACUUGGGGACCUUGGCGAGUGGUCAAGGAAUCUUUACUGAGACGUGAAACUUUGGGGCAGAAUGCUGAGGGCCCUCAUAUCUGCCCUGGGGUGGAGGGGAGGCAUUCAGGGCUGUGCCUUCAGCUCGCAGCAACCACAUCUGACUCCCACUGGGUUGCUGAGUGCCACAGAGUUGAUCAGCCACUGGACAGCAGUCUUUGAGAAAAGGGGUAUCCCUGAGGCCCGAGAAUCCAGUGAGUACAUCGUGGCUCAUGUCCUUGGAGCCAAAACAGUUAAGUGCAGUAUUGUCCAGAGGGCAGGAUAUGCGGGGGAGGGAGGACCCUGAGGAAGAAACAUCCAGGCUUUUCUACUCCCAUGAGAGUGAUGAGCUGAGGGUGAUGGGAUUUUUCCAAAGGAAUGUCUUAGGGAGAUACUUAUUCAUACACCCAAUAAACUAUUAGAGUGUGUGCCAGAAACUAGGGGUUCAGGGGUGACUAAAGUGGUCAGUGUUGGGCCCACUGGCAUUGUCCAGAAAAGAACCUGGGUCUGGGGAGCCAACCACUCAAAUUCUCUGUGGGGCAGUUUCAGAGUCUGAGGCCAGGACUUUUGACCCAGCCCCUGACCCGCUGGCAGCUGCGGUAUAUCCAGGAGCUGAGUAGCUACCGAUUGCAAAGGAUGCCGGUGCAGUACAUCCUUGGUGAGUGGGACUUUCAUGGGCUCAGUCUGAAGAUGGUGCCCCCAGUGUUUAUCCCUCGACCAGAAACAGAGGAGCUGGUUGAAUGGGUGCUAGAGGAGGUGACCCAGAGGCCCCAUGCGGUGGGAGCCCAUGGUGGCCCCCUCAUCCUAGAGGUGGGCUGUGGAUCAGGAGCUAUCUCCCUCAGCCUGCUGAGCAAGCUCCCCGAGGCUUCAGUUACAGGACAGGAUUCGGAUCAUCCCGCUCGAUGUGACCUUAGAGCAGAACUGGGCGCACCUUCUACCCUGGGGCCCCGUGGACCUGGUCAUCAGCAACCCUCCCUACGUCUUCCACCGGGACAUGGAGCAGCUGGCCCCUGAGAUCCUCAGCUAUGAAGACCCAACCGCCCUGGAUGGUGGGGAGGAGGGCAUGGAUAUCAUUACCCACAUCCUGGCCUUGGCACCUCGACUCCUGAAGGACUCUGGAAGCAUCUUCUUAGAAGUGGACCCAAGACACCCAGAGCUCAUCGGCAGCUGGCUCCAGAGCCGACCUGACCUGUCCCUCAAUCUUGUGGCUGUGCGCAGGGACUUCUGUGGGAGGCCCCGGUUCCUACAUAUCCAGAGGUCUGAGCCAUAGCAUGGUUGUCUUGUGGAUGCCUGGCCAAGGCCCCGACCUGCCAGAGUGCCUGAAUGACACUUCUUCCUGGAAUGCUACUUGGAGGGAGGUGGAUGCUUCAGAACCCCAGAUGCUCUGUGAUUCCCCAUGCUCUACAUUUCUAGGAAACGUAGCGGUAGAUGCUAAGGUGGGGGUAUCCUUCCUGGGGGAGCCAAGUGCAAGGGCACGCACAGUCCUGCUCAGGAGCUGAGCGGACCCAGGUUCUCAGUCUGGCUCCAUCACAAUGUGUGGCCAGGGAAGGUUGCUGGGUCUCUGUGGGUGGAACUGCUCUGGGAAUAUUGAGAGAUGUGGCCAAUAAAGUGGCAAGAAAACAGUGA